This 506-nucleotide ribosomal RNA is filed under the name Hyporhamphus regularis (western river garfish). RNAcentral describes it as "partial 16S ribosomal RNA". It matches the Rfam family "Bacterial large subunit ribosomal RNA", at positions 1860 to 2568 of the family's 2925-position model. Lineage: Eukaryota; Metazoa; Chordata; Actinopteri; Beloniformes; Hemiramphidae. The record is from RNAcentral.
UGCCCGGUGACAAAUAGUUCAACGGCCGCGGUAUUUUGACCGUGCAAAGGUAGCGCAAUCACUUGUCUUUUAAAUGAAGACCCGUAUGAAUGGCACCACGAGGGCUUAACUGUCUCCUUCUCCCAGUCAAUGAAAUUGAUCUCCCCGUGCAGAAGCGGGGAUCCAUACAUAAGACGAGAAGACCCUUUGGAGCUUUAGACAACAAGUAGACCAUGUCCCUGCCUCCAAACAAAAGGAAUGAACUAAUUGGACCCUACCCUACUGUCUUUGGUUGGGGCGACCGCGGGGAAACAAAAAACCCCCAUGUGGAACGGGAGAUCCCCCUAUAACCAAGAGCCACAGCUCUAAGUUUCAGAAUUUCUGACCAAAAAGAUCCGGCAGUGCCGAUCAACGAACCGAGUUACCCUAGGGAUAACAGCGCAAUCCCCUUUUAGAGCCCAUAUCGACAAGGGGGUUUACGACCUCGAUGUUGGAUCAGGACAUCCUAAUGGUGCAGCCGCUAUUAA